RNAcentral lists this ribosomal RNA (495 nucleotides) under uncultured bacterium. RNAcentral describes it as "bacterial SSU rRNA". It matches the Rfam family "Bacterial small subunit ribosomal RNA", at positions 29 to 518 of the family's 1533-position model. The record is from RNAcentral.
AUGAACGCUAGCGACAGGCCUAACACAUGCAAGUCAGGGGCAGCACAAGGAGCAAUCUGAGGUGGCGACCGGCGCACGGGUGAGUAACACGUAUGCAACCUGCCUGUAAGCGGGGAAUAACCCGUUGAAAGACGGACUAAUACCGCAUAAUACUAAAUUACUGCAUGGUAAUUUAUUUAAACAUUUAUGGCUUACAGAUGGGCAUGCGCAUGAUUAGCUAGUUGGAGAGGUAACGGCUCCCCAAGGCAACGAUCAUUAGGGGUUCUGAGAGGAAGGUCCCCCACACUGGUACUGAGACACGGACCAGACUCCUACGGGAGGCAGCAGUGAGGAAUAUUGGUCAAUGGACGAGAGUCUGAACCAGCCAAGUCGCGUGCAGGAAGAAUGUCCCUAUGGAUUGUAAACUGCUUUUGCAGGGGAAUAAAGUGCAUCACGUGUGAUGUUUUGUAUGUACUCUUGCGAAUAAGGAUCGGCUAACUCCGUGCCAGCCGCGGC